GUUAGGAAUAUUGGACAAUGGGCGCAAGCCUGAUCCAGCCAUGCCGCGUGAGUGAUGAAGGCCUUCGGGUUGUAAAGCUCUUUAGUCCACGAAUAUAAUGACUGUAGUGGAAGAAUAAGCCCCGGCUAACUUCGUGCCAGCAGCCGCGGUAAUACGAAGGGGGCGAGCGUUAUUCGGAAUCACUGGGCGUAAAGCGUGCGUAGGCUGUUUUGUAAGUCAGAAGUGAAAGCCCAGGGCUUAACCCUGGAAUUGCUUUUGAAACUACAAGACUCGAAUUCGGGAGAGGAUAGCGGAAUUGUCAGUGUAGCAGUGAAAUGCGUAGAUAUUGACAGGAACACCAGUGGCGCAAGCGGCUAUCUGGACCGAUAUUGACGCUGAGGCACGAAAGCGUGGGGAGCAAACAGGAUUAGAAACCCUUGUAGUCC
RNAcentral lists this ribosomal RNA (425 nucleotides) under uncultured bacterium. RNAcentral describes it as "bacterial SSU rRNA". It matches the Rfam family "Bacterial small subunit ribosomal RNA", at positions 354 to 796 of the family's 1533-position model. The record is from RNAcentral.